This is a long non-coding RNA of Hordeum vulgare subsp. vulgare (domesticated barley), 740 nucleotides long. RefSeq lists it as uncharacterized. The record is from RefSeq and is a predicted model, not a curated record. The transcript is spliced from 2 exons. NCBI's taxonomy places the organism in Eukaryota, Viridiplantae, Streptophyta, Magnoliopsida, Poales, Poaceae.
AAUAAAAGGACCUGGGGAGACUGGAAAUGGCUCUAACCUUCUUCCUCUCGAAGACAACCUCCCUUCCGCAAUUCCUCCUAGCUUGUAUCCAGAUCCAUAGUGGAAUAGAUUGAGAAGAGGGACGUAACGCCUGGCCACCCUCCCUUCAGUCCUCAGAUCCCAGGUGGUGACGGAAGAAGGACCGCUCGACUGGAAGGGCGGGGGAAGCUCCGCUGCAUGUUGGACGAAGACGGACGACGAGGGGCUCAUGUUCGUCGGUUAAAGGUUAGGAGCGAGAGAGGAGAUCCGACAGCUAAAAAUAGCCAGAUCCGACGCAUAGGGUGCGACCGGCCCAAAUUUGGGACGGCGCACCGACAAAGAUCACUCCCCACACGUAAUGGACUGAAAUUUGCUAACUCGCUAGGUUUCCAUCGAUCGGAGGCGGAAUCAGACUCCCUACAAGUGAUCAACUUUUGUACAGGCCCCUGUAAAAAAAAAACUUCUGUACGGCCAACCAAAAUGGUGGGACGCAGCAGCGGCGAUUUUUGCAGAAGUUUAGACUUAGCUUCGAUGAUUGGGAAGAUCUCUUUUAAACAUUGUUUUUGUUCAGCUGAUCAAGCACAUGUGCUAGCUAAUCUCUGUUAUUGUAACAAGAACUCGCCUAAUUGGACUGGCGAACCUCCAGGUCAACAAGCUUGUGAGUAAUGUAACGUUGUUCUGUUACCAAUAAAGCUAGACAUGAUGGUCUUCCCUCAAAAAAA